AAUUAUUGAUUUAAUAAUAUAUCAUAUUAAUACAGAUGAUACUGUGACAAUAAUUGAAUUAAUAAUAUGAGAGAUAUGAUGCAGCAAUUACUGUAGCAAUAAUUGAGUAUAACUAAGUGACUUCUCACGUAAACAUUAAUAAUCAAUACCGUGUGCUACUAUGCAACCACAUGUAUUACUGUACUUUUACUACCGAGUAGUUCAACAGUUUAACGGUAAAACUUUUGCCAUUAUUUUUAUAAAAAGAUAAUUCUGUCGUUUUCUUACUACGACAAUACUUCCGUUGUGGGGUGCACCAAUGAUUGUGUCGUAGUAUGAAUAUUCCCUGUUAAAACGAAUAUUCCCCGACCAAUCGAAUAUUAUAUAACAACUUGCUUACUUUGCAAAAUUUAUAAAUACUACCCACAACUAUAACAUUAUAUCAAAUCCACACCAUAAUAUUAAAAAAUAUAUUUCGAGAAAUUUAAAUCUUUAUUCAUAAAAUUUAGGGUCUCACAGUCACCGUGGCAACACGGAUGUCAGGGGGUGCCUAACACCUUUCCUCCGCAUAAUCAAG
This 556-nucleotide long non-coding RNA is filed under the name Panax ginseng (ginseng). RNAcentral's name for it is "long non-coding RNA (PGIN_LNC014349)". The record is from RNAcentral. Lineage: Eukaryota; Viridiplantae; Streptophyta; Magnoliopsida; Apiales; Araliaceae.